RNAcentral lists this ribosomal RNA (253 nucleotides) under uncultured bacterium. RNAcentral's name for it is "partial 16S ribosomal RNA". It matches the Rfam family "Bacterial small subunit ribosomal RNA", at positions 524 to 776 of the family's 1533-position model. The record is from RNAcentral.
GACGUAGGGUGCAAGCGUUGUCCGGAAUUAUUGGGCGUAAAGAGCUCGUAGGCGGUCUGUCGCGUCGGCUGUGAAAACUCGGGGCUCAACCCCGAGCCUGCAGUCGAUACGGGCAGACUAGAGUGCGGUAGGGGAGACUGGAAUUCCUGGUGUAGCGGUGAAAUGCGCAGAUAUCAGGAGGAACACCGGUGGCGAAGGCGGGUCUCUGGGCCGUAACUGACGCUGAGGAGCGAAAGCGUGGGGAGCAAACAGG